RNAcentral lists this long non-coding RNA (268 nucleotides) under Solanum tuberosum (potato). Its description in RNAcentral is "long non-coding RNA (STUB_LNC011912)". Lineage: Eukaryota; Viridiplantae; Streptophyta; Magnoliopsida; Solanales; Solanaceae. The record is from RNAcentral.
GAAAAUCUUUACUCAAAAGUCGUUAAGGAAAAAGUCUUUUGUGAUGACUUUUUCCAAUUUUUAUAAAGUUGCUAUGAAAGUUCCAUUUCUUGUUUGUGCUUCAUAAUUUUCUAAAUUAUUAUAUAAUGAUUAUAUUGAAGGCACAAAAGUAAACUAUAAAGUUGAAAAAAUCAAGUCCAAUAUAACUUCUCCAACAUUUGAAAAAUAGAAUAGUUAAAAAAUUAUAAUAUAGUAUAGAUCGAAAACAAAAAAAUAUUUAAAGACGGAC